This 233-nucleotide unclassified non-coding RNA is filed under the name Hevea brasiliensis (rubber tree). Lineage: Eukaryota; Viridiplantae; Streptophyta; Magnoliopsida; Malpighiales; Euphorbiaceae. The record is from RNAcentral.
UGAUUUCGGCGUUGAUGAUCUUGAUCUCACUUUGGCGGUAGGGACUGCUGGGUCGAACUGAAGGUGUUUAGAUUAUCAUGUCUGAAACCCUGAGAUUUUAGCUCAAUCUCUUUGGGUUACAUCUGAUGAACAAGAUGAAUGCUUACAUAUUCUUUCAAUUGCUGUUUGGAAUUUAGUUGGAAUUUAGUUGGGUUUGUAAAUUUUCGAGCAACUGGUUUGGAGAUAUCGACGAG